RNAcentral lists this long non-coding RNA (1813 nucleotides) under Olea europaea subsp. europaea. The record is from RNAcentral. Lineage: Eukaryota; Viridiplantae; Streptophyta; Magnoliopsida; Lamiales; Oleaceae.
UGGAUUUUGGUUGGAACUUUUUUUUUGCACACAAUGUGUUUGUUGAAAGUCUACAACUAGGUGUUUGUCAAUUUUUGCCCAUAAUUCCUUAUUGUUCCAAGUGUAAUAUAUCAAUUAUGUAGAGAGGAAUGGAUUAGACCUAAGAAUUUCCCUUAUACAUCAAGUGUUAGUUAAAAGGUUUUCAAUUCAAUUUUAGCUACUAUAACCCUAUACUCUUGUGCUACUAUAUCACAUUAAGUUUGGGGGUGUUUGUCCACUCCACAAUCCUCACACAUAAUGAAAAUUUCAAUUGAGUCACGUUAUUCACUUCAUCCUUGCAUAUAUCAUUAAUACAUAUUUUCCUUAUACAAGUUGAUGAAAUAUAAUUUGGCCUAACAUCUUAUUUACAUUUGUAGGAUAUAACUCAUUUACAAUACCUCCAAGAACAACAAUCUUUAGAGCAAAUAAGCGAAAGGGAAUUAUCGAGUCCUCUAGCACUAGAAAGGGGGCUCAAUUCGAGCUUUUGUCUUAUGAAACUUAUAUUUUUUAGGAACUAGCACAAUGUGCAGAUAUAUUCAAUAAUUGGACUCUUAUUCACAGGGAGUGCAACUAGACCAAAUCCAACUCAUGAACAUACUGAACAUUGUCAGGGAAAAGGGGUGGACCAAACUGUAUGCUAAACCCAAUAAGGUUUACACAUACGUAGAAAGCGAAUUCAUGUGUAGCUUCAAUGUAGAUGAUAUGGAGGAAGAAAGCGAGGACUAUCUAAAACAUAUGUGUGUUCAAGUGUAUUAUAAUAUUGAAGAAAGGUCUAAAGUACUAAGACCAUUGAUUAGGACACAGUAGCGCAAUUCGUAUAUUCAAGGGCCAAGCCUAAGGUUGGCCAACCACCAACAUAGUUGAUCAUGGAAAAAUGAAUGAUGAACUAUGUAUCUUCCAUCAUUUUCUCUCAAGCAACAUGAUCCCAACAAUAUACAAUACUGUAUUACUGUAAUUUAUAUAUUAAAGAUUACGUUUCUGUACAAACUAGCCAUGAGAUACAACUUAAUUUUGGAUAAAUCAUCAUCAACACAAUCAGGGAUCGUCCUAUGUUUCCUAGAGAUCACACAAAACUAACAAUGCCUAGUUUGAUUUCUGCAUUGUGGAAAAGAGCUGGAGUACCUAUGACACUAUUUGAAGUAGAAAAAAAAGGUGACACCACUUAUAUGCCUUACAAUAACGAGAUAGUCAAAGUCACAGAUAAAUCGGCACAAGCAAGGGAGAUUGGUAGUAGAAGCAAAGGAAGAGAAUGCAGAAGAAGAUAUACCCACUCUAGAAGAAGAACCAAUCGACAGAAAAGUCCCAAUUUUCUCACCAUGUCUCAAUCAUCGAGGUGGUGUUAACUUUGGACAGUCACUAAGGCACAUCCAGAUGUCCAUGUAAAAUGAAGAAGAUGUCAUUAGAUAGCUAGAUGAAGAGCAAAGGUCGCUAUAUGAAGGGCAAAGACAAUAUCAUGAAGGUUAGAGACAACUGCAGGAGGGAUAAGAAAUACUUCAUACCACGCUCCGUCCCAUGAAAGGGGGUCAUCAUCGAGGUCAUGAUGAAAUGAUGAUGCUUAUGGGACAAUUUCAUUGGCUGCAGUAUCCACCACUACCUCUAGCAGAUCACUGAAAAACUCAGUACAAUAUUUCCUUUUACUUUUAUUUUUAACACUGGAGACUGAUGUGUAGCUUAAGUUAGGAGGUGUGAUUUGUACUUACAUGAUGGUUAUAUAGGUCAGAAUAUAUUUAUGCUCAUUUCAUAUUUUUAUAAUUUAGUUAUAAAUUUUUUUUUUUAAAAAAUUAUGAGUUUACGU